CCUACGGGUGGCAGCAGUGAGGAAUAUUGGUCAAUGGCCGAGAGGCUGAACCAGCCAAGUCGCGUGAGGGAAGACGGCCCUACGGGUUGUAAACCUCUUUUGUCGGGGAGCAAAGAGAGUCACGUGUGACUCAUUGAGAGUACCCGAAGAAAAAGCAUCGGCUAACUCCGUGCCAGCAGCCGCGGUAAUACGGAGGAUGCGAGCGUUAUCCGGAUUUAUUGGGGUUAAAGGGUGCGCAGGCGGGGGUGCAAGUCAGCGGUCAAAUUGCGGGGCUCAACCCCGUACUGCCGUUGAAACUGCAUGCCUUGAGUGCGCGAGAAGUAUGCGGAAUGCGUGGUGUAGCGGUGAAAUGCAUAGAUAUCACGCAGAACUCCGAUGGCGAAGGCAGCAUACCGGCGCGCAACUGACGCUCAUGCACGAAAGCGUGGGUAUCGAACAGGAUUAGAUACCCUUGUAGUC
RNAcentral lists this ribosomal RNA (459 nucleotides) under uncultured bacterium. RNAcentral describes it as "partial 16S ribosomal RNA". It matches the Rfam family "Bacterial small subunit ribosomal RNA", at positions 338 to 795 of the family's 1533-position model. The record is from RNAcentral.